CCACCCAGGCCACUCUUCACCUCCACCAUGAGCCUGGACAUCCAGAGCCUGGACAUCCAGUGUGAGGAGCUGAGCGAUGCUAGAUGGGCCGAGCUCCUCCCUCUGCUCCAGCAGUGCCAAGUGGUCAGGCUGGACGACUGUGGCCUCACAGAAGCACGGUGCAAGGACAUCAGCUCUGCACUUCGAGUCAACCCUGCACUGGCAGAGCUCAACCUGCGCAGCAACGAGCUGGGUGAUGCCGGCGUGCACUGCGUGCUCCAGGGCCUGCAGAGCCCCUCCUGCAAGAUCCAGAAGCUGAGGAGCUGCACCUCAGCGACAACCUCUUGGGGGACGUGGGCCUGCAGCUGCUCUGCGAGGGACUCCUGGACCCCCAGUGCCGCCUGGAAAAGCUGCAGUGAGUUUGCGUCCUGCCCCAGGGCCCGUGCUGCCCACUGCCUGUUCCUCAGCCAGCCCCCUACAUAGAACACAAGGUCACAAUGGCCUUGUGGUGCUCU
This 494-nucleotide small RNA is filed under the name Pongo abelii (Sumatran orangutan). RNAcentral describes it as "retained intron". The record is from RNAcentral. Lineage: Eukaryota; Metazoa; Chordata; Mammalia; Primates; Hominidae.